UGCGGAAACAUUGGUUCCCAUCAAUGUUUCGCCAUGUUUCCCAGCGUGGACAAACACUAGGAAGCAUUGGCGAGAAACAUAGCCAUAUUAAUAGGGAAACAUUAAAUGUUUCUAAAUUUGGUAGGAAACAUUUUUGCUUCCCGGGAAGCAAAUUUUGUUUCCGCAACAAUGUUUCCACGGGUGGGCAAACAUUUGAGGAAACAUCGAGAAUCAAACAAAUGUUUCCGCAACAAUGUUUCCUAGUUUGCCCAGGGCUUAAAGUUAUAAUGAUCUUUAACUGCAUAGUUAUAAUAUUGACUGUCUGUGCCAGUGCCAAUGGUAAUAAUAACAAGCUUUCGUUAGUAGGGAUGCCGACUAUGCCUGACUCAACUACAAAAUAGACCAAUCCCCAAUUAACCAAAAUUUUGAUCUCAACAAGUCUAGACAAAAAUUUCAUCACGGCUUGAAAGGGCAUCACAAAAUUAGUAAUAUUCCAAAGUUUCGUUGCGAA
Paramuricea clavata is the source of this 490-nucleotide non-coding RNA. The record is from the annotation of a GenBank genome assembly. Lineage: Eukaryota; Metazoa; Cnidaria; Anthozoa; Malacalcyonacea; Plexauridae.